RNAcentral lists this ribosomal RNA (529 nucleotides) under uncultured Bacteroidota bacterium. Its description in RNAcentral is "bacterial SSU rRNA". It matches the Rfam family "Bacterial small subunit ribosomal RNA", at positions 224 to 750 of the family's 1533-position model. The record is from RNAcentral. Lineage: Bacteria; Pseudomonadati; Bacteroidota.
GAUGAGCAUGCGUCCCAUUAGCUAGAUGGUAAGGUAACGGCUUACCAUGGCUACGAUGGGUAGGGGUCCUGAGAGGGAGAUCCCCCACACUGGUACUGAGACACGGACCAGACUCCUACGGGAGGCAGCAGUGAGGAAUAUUGGACAAUGGGCGCAAGCCUGAUCCAGCCAUGCCGCGUGCAGGAUGACGGUCCUAUGGAUUGUAAACUGCUUUUGCACAGGAAGAAACAACGCUACGUGUAGCGUCUUGACGGUACUGUGAGAAUAAGGAUCGGCUAACUCCGUGCCAGCAGCCGCGGUAAUACGGAGGAUCCAAGCGUUAUCCGGAAUCAUUGGGUUUAAAGGGUCCGUAGGCGGUUUAGUAAGUCAGUGGUGAAAGCCCAUCGCUCAACGGUGGAACGGCCAUUGAUACUGCUAGACUUGAAUUAUUAGGAAGUAACUAGAAUAUGUAGUGUAGCGGUGAAAUGCUUAGAGAUUACAUGGAAUACCAAUUGCGAAGGCAGGUUACUACUAAUUGAUUGACGCUGAU